AAUCUCCAGAUUCCUUACCCCUCAGAUCUAAAUAUUGGUCUGAGUGGCUAAAAAAAGGAAGAAAAGUAAAACAGAAGUGGACGUGGAGUCUAAUGACAUACAAGUUCAUUUGAAACAUUU
RNAcentral lists this small nucleolar RNA (120 nucleotides) under Echinops telfairi (small Madagascar hedgehog). Its description in RNAcentral is "Small nucleolar RNA SNORA61 (ENSETEG00000024708.1)". Lineage: Eukaryota; Metazoa; Chordata; Mammalia; Afrosoricida; Tenrecidae. The record is from RNAcentral.